GAGCAUAACAAUAAACCUGUUCCCAUUAUCACAGCAGAGAGCCAACAAUAGGUUCUUCUGGAAAUUUGUAUCAAAAUUGCAGGGCGGACAUCAGUUUUGUUUUUUUAAAAAAAGAGUAAGUAAAAAUGUAUAGACAUUUAAGUCAUUUGAAAGUGGGGGGGAUUGUGAAAGCAAAAAUUGAGAUCUAAGGAGGGUAUAAUCACCAUUUCAGUGAGAUUAAAUACCUAUCCUGCAAAGAAUGGAUUUCUCUUUCUAAGAGUUGAUGUUAAAGGCCUCCAAUAUUAUCGCUUUUUGUAACUGAGAUUUCCACCUGAAGUCACCAGGAGUCAAACUCUACUCAAAGAAGAUUGUACUUUGUGUUUAAGGAAAAUAAAUUACCGGAAAUUCAAAUAAAACAUAAGAAAUGUAGCA
This is a long non-coding RNA of Pantherophis guttatus, 411 nucleotides long. RefSeq lists it as uncharacterized. Lineage: Eukaryota; Metazoa; Chordata; Lepidosauria; Squamata; Colubridae. The record is from RefSeq and is a predicted model, not a curated record.